This 202-nucleotide ribosomal RNA is filed under the name uncultured bacterium. Its description in RNAcentral is "partial 16S ribosomal RNA". It matches the Rfam family "Bacterial small subunit ribosomal RNA", at positions 524 to 725 of the family's 1533-position model. The record is from RNAcentral.
UACGUAGGGUGCAAGCGUUAAUCGGAAUUACUGGGCGUAAAGCGUGCGCAGGCGGUUUUGUAAGUCUGACGUGAAAGCCCCGGGCUCAACCUGGGAAUUGCGUGGGAGACUGCAAGGCUUGAAUCUGGCAGAGGGGGGUAGAAUUCCACGUGUAGCAGUGAAAUGCGUAGAGAUGUGGAGGAACACCGAUGGCGAAGGCCGC